This 73-nucleotide transfer RNA is filed under the name Cricetulus griseus (Chinese hamster). It matches the Rfam family "tRNA". Rfam says of the family: Transfer RNA (tRNA) molecules are approximately 80 nucleotides in length. Lineage: Eukaryota; Metazoa; Chordata; Mammalia; Rodentia; Cricetidae. The record is from Rfam by way of RNAcentral.
GGAGAAAUAGCUGAGUGAUUAAAGCGCUUGCCUUGCAAGCAUGAGGGUCUGAGUUCAAAUCCCCAGAUCCCUA